AGCCUUUGGUGAGUUCUGCUACGGCCCACCUUUCUGCCGGGGACGUGCUCCUGGGCUUAACUGUCCCGGACACGGAAUCGGCGAGGUUACUUUGAGUAAAUUAGAGUGUUCAAAGCAAGCCUACGCUCUGAAUACAUUAGCAUGGAAUAACACGAUAGGACUCUGGCUUAUCUUGUUGGUCUGUAAGACCGGAGUAAUGAUUAAGAGGGACAGUCGGGGGCAUUCGUAUUUCAUUGUCAGAGGUGAAAUUCUUGGAUUUAUGAAAGACGAACUUCUGCGAAAGCAUUUGCCAAGGAUGUUUUCAUUAAUCAAGAACGAAAGAAGGGGGCUCGAAGACGAUUAGAUACCGUCGUAGUCUCAACCAUAAACGAUGCCGACUAGGGAUUGGCAGGUGUUUCGUUGAUGACCCUGCCAGCACCUUAUGAGAAAUCAAAGUUUUUGGGUUCCGGGGGGAGUAUGGUCGCAAGGCUGAAACUUAUAGGAAUUGACGGAAGGGCACCACCAGGCGUUAACAAAAGCAGAAGCUCAGCGCCUAAGAGUCGAUGGGAAACCAUUGGCUAGUGCUUGGGUGUGUGUGUUACACAACACACUCGAGUGCAACACUGUUCAAAUUGCGGGGAAGCCCUAAAGCUUUGCUAACCAAGCUCUGUGUGAAAGCAC
This 660-nucleotide ribosomal RNA is filed under the name Dunaliella sp. RNAcentral's name for it is "SSU rRNA". It matches the Rfam family "Eukaryotic small subunit ribosomal RNA", at positions 662 to 1542 of the family's 1831-position model. The record is from RNAcentral. Lineage: Eukaryota; Viridiplantae; Chlorophyta; Chlorophyceae; Chlamydomonadales; Dunaliellaceae.